CGGGAUGUAGUGAAGUGGUAUAACCCCUGUUUUGGGAACAGGCGUCGCUGGUUCGAUUCCAGCCAUUCCGA
Molecule: transfer RNA, 71 nt
Filed under: Armatimonadota bacterium
Lineage: Bacteria; Bacillati; Armatimonadota
Description: Armatimonadetes bacterium tRNA-Pro
Rfam family: tRNA
About the family: Transfer RNA (tRNA) molecules are approximately 80 nucleotides in length. Their secondary structure includes four short double-helical elements and three loops (D, anti-codon, and T loops).
Source: RNAcentral